This 301-nucleotide ribosomal RNA is filed under the name uncultured bacterium. RNAcentral's name for it is "partial 16S ribosomal RNA". It matches the Rfam family "Bacterial small subunit ribosomal RNA", at positions 509 to 807 of the family's 1533-position model. The record is from RNAcentral.
CAGCCGCCGCGGGAAUACAGAGGGUGCGAGCGUUAAUCGGAUUUACUGGGCGUAAAGCGUGCGUAGGCGGCUUUUUAAGUCGGAUGUGAAAUCCCUGAGCUUAACUUAGGAAUUGCAUUUGAUACUGGGAAGCUAGAGUAUGGGAGAGGAUGGUAGAAUUCCAGGUGUAGCGGUGAAAUGCGUAGAGAUCUGGAGGAAUACCGAUGGCGAAGGCAGCCAUCUGGCCUAAUACUGACGCUGAGGUACGAAAGCAUGGGGAGCAAACAGGAUUAGAUACCCCGGUAGUCCCUGUCUCUUAUAC